Molecule: long non-coding RNA, 797 nt
Filed under: Coturnix japonica (Japanese quail)
Lineage: Eukaryota; Metazoa; Chordata; Aves; Galliformes; Phasianidae
Description: lncRNA (ENSCJPG00005015988.1)
Source: RNAcentral
UGCAAACAGUUUGAGGCUCCUUUCUGAUUUCUAAGGUUAACUAAAGGCAGUUCUUGCCAUCUUGUCACACUUGCAUGCCUUUGUCAAACACAAGCUGCAAACAAGUUCAUGCAGACCCCAGGGCAUUGCUUUUCUGGAUGAGGAACAUAUUUACCUGAUUGUAUCACUGCAAUUCUGGGCUUAAUACACCUGUGUUAGGAGGAAAAUGUUCACAGCAAGAAGAGUCUGACUAUAGAUUCAAGGCAGUUGAAAUGUUGAUCAUAUCCCAAAGCAGAAAAUGAGAUGGAUUCUCCAGCCCACUGCAAAUACCAGCACCAUGCCCAGACUGACCAAACUGCUCCUCCUCAGCACUAAGGUCUGUUAGCUGCUGCCUUUCUACUUGAUCUCAAUUUCUAAAUAAAAUGCAAAACGUUGAAACAAGAAAGGGUCCCAGAAGGGUUCAUUGCUAUUGAGUUUAUGUGGUGGGAAGAACCAUUCUAGCCAGGAACUGUUUAUGACCUCAUGCCACGGCAAAAUCUCCUUCUGUUGGCCACUGCUGGGACGACACAGUGGGUUAGUUAGACCUCUGUUCUCAUCAGUACAACAGACAUUAAACAAAAGCUUUUAUAGGUUAUUGUGCAAAGAGAAGGAAGCAAGAUCCUGCUGAAGGAAGACCGUGGUGAAUGAUUAACCUGAUAAUGUGCCCUCCAGGAAAGUAGAUCUGCGUAGAGGAUGAGAAGAGCUCUGUUACAAAGCAGCUGAUACACCAUGUUUUAGGUGGUGUCAGACGCUGCAUCCCCACUGCCAUAGCAUCUCCC